RNAcentral lists this unclassified non-coding RNA (272 nucleotides) under plant metagenome. RNAcentral's name for it is "partial contains small subunit ribosomal RNA, internal transcribed spacer 1, and 5.8S ribosomal RNA". The record is from RNAcentral.
UUUCCGUAGGUGAACCUGCGGAAGGAUCAUUAAUGAGUUGUCAUGGGGUUCGAUGCUGGCAGCCAGUUUUUGGAUGCAUGUGCUUGCCCUAACAAUCCUCUUCUUCCAAACACCUGUGCACAUUUUUGAGGGAGUCUUGAGUUGGUUGCCGCUCUUGGGUGAUUUUCUCACAUUCCCUUAAAUCAUUAUACGCUAUUAACAAUGUUGAACGUGCUCUGUGCCGCAAGGCCAUUAAUAUAAUACAACUUUUAACAACGGAUCUCUUGGCUCUC